This is a long non-coding RNA of Solanum dulcamara, 314 nucleotides long. RefSeq lists it as uncharacterized. NCBI's taxonomy places the organism in Eukaryota, Viridiplantae, Streptophyta, Magnoliopsida, Solanales, Solanaceae. The transcript is spliced from 4 exons. The record is from RefSeq and is a predicted model, not a curated record.
GACAAAACGAAAUUACAAGAGAAAGAAAGAAGAGAAGAGAAGAGAAAUUAAGGCUAGAAACAAGGAAAGAGCUACGAUUUUGGGAGGAGAAAAAGGCAGCCCAAAACGUUACCAAACAGUCCCUAAGUUUCAGCUGCGCUAAAGGAAAUUCCGAGGCAAGUUUUGGCGAGUUUUGGUGAAUUUCGGGAAAGGUUCAAGAGACGACGAGGCGAGCAUAGUUAAGAGUAAUCCGUAAGAGGUACAGAUGAUUGGUUUGCUGAUCCGCUUGCUUAGGACAUCCACCAUGUUGGUCGACAGUGCUCCUUUGUCCGAAG